UUAGUGAAAUCGAGUAGGACGGGACACGUGAUAUCCUGUUUGAACAUGGGGGGACCAUCCUCCAAGGCUAAAUACUCCUGACUGACCGAUAGUGAACCAGUACCGUGAGGGAAAGGCGAAAAGAACCCCUGUGAGGGGAGUGAAAUAGAACCUGAAACCGUGUACGUACAAGCAGUAGGAGCCCACUUGUUGGGUGACUGCGUACCUUUUGUAUAAUGGGUCAGCGACUUAAUUUUAGUAGCAAGGUUAACCGUUUAGGGGAGCCGUAGGGAAACCGAGUCUUAACUGGGCGUCAUAGUUGCUAGGAUUAGACCCGAAACCGAGUGAUCUAGCCAUGGGCAGGUUGAAGGUGAGGUAACACUUACUGGAGGACCGAACCGACUAAUGUUGAAAAAUUAGCGGAUGACUUGUGGCUAGGGGUGAAAGGCCAAUCAAACUCGGAGAUAGCUGGUUCUCCCCGAAAGCUAUUUAGGUAGCGCCUCGGACGAAUACUACUGGGGGUAGAGCACUGUUAAGGCUAGGGGGUCAUCCCGACUUACCAACC
This 544-nucleotide ribosomal RNA is filed under the name Photobacterium kishitanii. Its description in RNAcentral is "bacterial LSU rRNA". It matches the Rfam family "Bacterial large subunit ribosomal RNA", at positions 399 to 944 of the family's 2925-position model. The record is from RNAcentral. Lineage: Bacteria; Pseudomonadati; Pseudomonadota; Gammaproteobacteria; Vibrionales; Vibrionaceae.